RNAcentral lists this ribosomal RNA (311 nucleotides) under uncultured bacterium. Its description in RNAcentral is "bacterial SSU rRNA". It matches the Rfam family "Bacterial small subunit ribosomal RNA", at positions 28 to 334 of the family's 1533-position model. The record is from RNAcentral.
GACGAACGCUGGCGGCGUGCCUAAUACAUGCAAGUAGAACGCUGAGGACUGGUGCUUGCACUGGUCUAAGGAGUUGCGAACGGGUGAGUAACGCGUAGGUAACCUACCUCAUAGCGGGGGAUAACUAUUGGAAACGAUAGCUAAUACCGCAUAAUGCAACGGAAUCGCAUGACUCUGUUGCCAAAGAUUUAUCGCUCUGAGAUGGCCUCGCGUCUGAUUAGCUAGUUGGCGGGGUAACGGCCCACCAAGGCGACGAUCAGUAGCCGGACUGAGAGGUUGGCCGGCCACAUUGGGACUGAGACACGGCCCAG